GCAGGUGAUCGCCGUUGAAAGACGGUUCCUCUCGGAGGCACCUGCACAGGUGCUGCAUGGCUGUCGUCAGCUCGUGUCGUGAGAUGUUGGGUUAAGUCCCGCAACGAGCGCAACCCUUAUCCCCAGUUGCCAUCAGGUAAAGCUGGGAACUCUGGGGAGACUGCCGGUGAUAAACCGGAGGAAGGCGGGGAUGACGUCAAGUCCUCAUGGCCCUUACAUCCCGGGCUACACACGUGCUACAAUGGCAGGUACAGAGGGCUGCGAAGCCGCGAGGUGGAGCGAAUCCCAGAAAAACCUGUCUCAGUCCGGAUUGAAGUCUGCAACUCGACUUCAUGAAGGCGGAAUCGCUAGUAACCGCGAAUCAGCAGGUCGCGGUGAAUACGUUCCCGGGCCUU
This 395-nucleotide ribosomal RNA is filed under the name uncultured Latescibacterota bacterium. RNAcentral describes it as "bacterial SSU rRNA". It matches the Rfam family "Bacterial small subunit ribosomal RNA", at positions 988 to 1382 of the family's 1533-position model. The record is from RNAcentral. Lineage: Bacteria; Pseudomonadati; Candidatus Latescibacterota.